UUUUAUGGAGAGUUUGAUCCUGGCUCAGGAUGAACGCUGGCGGCGUGCCUAAUACAUGCAAGUCGAGCGAACGGAUGAGAAGCUUGCUUCUCUGAUGUUAGCGGCGGACGGGUGAGUAACACGUGGAUAACCUACCUAUAAGACUGGGAUAACUUCGGGAAACCGGAGCUAAUACCGGAUAAUAUUUUGAACCGCAUGGUUCAAAAGUGAAAGACGGUCUUGCUGUCACUUAUAGAUGGAUCCGCGCUGCAUUAGCUAGUUGGUAAGGUAACGGCUUACCAAGGCAACGAUGCAUAGCCGACCUGAGAGGGUGAUCGGCCACACUGGAACUGAGACACGGUCCAGACUCCUACGGGAGGCAGCAGUAGGGAAUCUUCCGCAAUGGGCGAAAGCCUGACGGAGCAACGCCGCGUGAGUGAUGAAGGUCUUCGGAUCGUAAAACUCUGUUAUUAGGGAAGAACAUAUGUGUAAGU
Molecule: ribosomal RNA, 473 nt
Filed under: Staphylococcus aureus
Lineage: Bacteria; Bacillati; Bacillota; Bacilli; Caryophanales; Staphylococcaceae
Description: bacterial SSU rRNA
Rfam family: Bacterial small subunit ribosomal RNA
Source: RNAcentral